UGGGUCUCGCUCGUUACCUGACUUAACAGGAUGCUUCACAGUACGAACUGACGACGGCCAUGCACCACCUCUCAGCUAAUCCGGUAAAGUCUUCAGCCUGACCUUCAUAUCGCUGUCGCCCCCGGUGAGAUUUCCGGCGUUGAAUCCAAUUAAACCGCAGGCUCCACCCGUUGUAGUGCUCCCCCGCCAAUUCCUUUAAGUUUCAGCCUUGCGGCCAUACUUCCCAGGUGGCUCGCUUCACGGCUUCCCUACGGCACCAAUCACGGUCGCACCGUGACUGACACCUAGCGAGCAUCGUUUACGGCUAGGACUACCCGGGUAUCUAAUCCGGUUCGUGCCCCUAGCUUUCGUCCCUUACCGUCGGACCCGUUCUGGUGAGACGCCUUCGCCACUGGUGGUCCCUCGAGGAUCACAAGAUUUCACCCCUACCCCCAAGGUACCUCUCACCUCUCCCGGUCCCAAGCCAAACAGUAUCCCCUAGCAGCCUGACAGUUGAGCUGCCAGAUUUCCCAAGGGACUUACCUGGCCGGCUACAGACCCUUUAGACCCAAUAAUAGCGGUUACCACUCGGGCCGCCGGUGUUACCGCGGCGGCUGGCACCGGUCUUGCCCGGCCCUUGCUAACAGAUGCUUUUUAGGCAUCUGGACAGCCAACAUUAUAUGCUGGCACUCGAGAUCCCCUUAUCACGGUUUCCCGCAUUGUAAAGUUUUUCGCGCCUGCUGCACCCCGUAGGGCCUGGAUUCGUGUCUCAGAAUCC
Molecule: ribosomal RNA, 757 nt
Filed under: unidentified archaeon
Lineage: Archaea
Description: partial 16S ribosomal RNA
Source: RNAcentral